Long non-coding RNA from Acipenser ruthenus (sterlet), 1264 nucleotides. RefSeq lists it as uncharacterized. Lineage: Eukaryota; Metazoa; Chordata; Actinopteri; Acipenseriformes; Acipenseridae. The transcript has 3 exons. The record is from RefSeq and is a predicted model, not a curated record.
GUACUCAUUUUCAAUAUUUAUAGCUGUGAUCCUAAGGUUGCUAGGAAACGAUGGCGAGGCGAUACCUCCAUCUGUGAUUUUAAUCAUUGGCUGAUUCUAUCAUAAUCUAAAAGAUUAUUUAUGAGGACCUCUUGCAAUGGUGCUGUCUGCUUUUAAUCAGCAUAAUUGGAUUCACAUCUGACCCUGGACCUGUCAGAUUCUCAAGGAAGACAGCAUGCCGUUGUACAGUACAGUGGAGCUCAUGGUGGGUCUCAUGAAACUCCCGAUAACUUACGACAGGGUUACUCCCAGUUUCACUUGCAUUGUGUAUGUGUUGUACAUGAUUUUUGACUGAUGUUAAACUUGCUGAUUGCUCUGAUGUAGGAUACAUGCUUGUGAAUAGCACAAGAGAGUGAGGAGCUGUGGAAAGUGCAGGUGCAAUACCUUUUAUUACGCUUCAUAGUCUUACGACCCGGCACUCAACUGCUUAUUCUAUAUGUCGUCUGAUAACAACAAACCUGUUUCAAGAGCACCCGUAUAAAACAAUCGCUUGUCUAUAGUGACAACAAAAAAAUAGAAGGUAAUUAAACAAUCAACACUUAAAUAUGGCCCAGUCCCUAAAGAAAAUGUUUACAUUGUAAGCAGGUUUGGCUGUUAAUUACGUUACCCAAAGAAAAGCAGUCAUGAGGAUAUUUUACCUGGAGUGCAGUUAGAGAGAAAAGCAGGUUUGUGCAUCUUUUAACAGACUGGCCAAUAUAUCAGGAAUCUAAAUAUAAGCAAGACACAAGUCACUAUCUGCAUUAGAAACAAGGGUCAUAUUAACACACUCAAACAUAGGUGUACAUUCUUUGUAAAAUGUGUCUGUCUCUUGUGUGUAUAACGCACAGCUGUGUAGAACUCAUGGUUUUUGUAACAAAGAAACAAAGAUAUGUACAUGACUCCUGUUGCCCGUUCUGGAUUUUUAACUGACCAUCAAAGCAAAGCAAUUUUCUACUUUAAAACAACAUACUUGAGUAAAAAUAUUUCAAGUACAUCAAUAUUUUAUCUUAAAAUACCAUUGGUGAAUGUAUGUCUGAACAAAUAAAGUCCGAAUUUACAUUACAUACAUACCACUAUAUGAGUAUGAAAGAAUGCCAUACAUACAUAAAAAAAAUAGCAUCUGCUGAUGCACCCAUUUUGUUAACAUUUUAUACCUUCAUUUAUUAAUUUAAGGAUGUACAGAAGUUUAUUUUGUAAAUUUAAACAAAAUAAAAUAGUAAAAUCAUUAAAAAAAACAAACAAAAAA